This 400-nucleotide unclassified non-coding RNA is filed under the name Hevea brasiliensis (rubber tree). The record is from RNAcentral. Lineage: Eukaryota; Viridiplantae; Streptophyta; Magnoliopsida; Malpighiales; Euphorbiaceae.
AAAAGAAUAUGCAUACAGCAUAAGACACAACUAUGGGAAAGAAGGAAAGAGAACGGAUUACACACCUUAUUCUUGUCAAAAGAUUAUAUCAUCAACUCCUGGAGUUGGAGAUCACCAUGGCUGUCCAUAUCGUCAUUUCAGUGAGGAGAAUCUGAGAGCUGCUCUGACCAGGAUGAGAGUAGGCAAUCGAGCACUGGAGGAUGUGAUAGACAAAGUCCGAAAUAGACAUUACCAGUUGGCAUGCACUUUGACCUUUGAAGCUGUUCAUGGCUCAUCUUGUGAUGCCGGGGUUAACCAUCCAAAUCAGUACUACAAUGACAGUCAGAGGAUCUUGGAAUCACAGAAGAGUUCCAGUAACCCAAAAGGAACAGCAGCUUCAAUGUAGGGCAAUAUAGAUGUG